GCUAAGGCACGUUGACAGUAUCGCAUCGUCUCAAGACUAAGCCAUGCAUGUCUAAGUAUAAGUAUUAUACAGCGAAACUGCGAAUGGCUCAUUAAAACAGUUAUAGUUUAUUUGAUAAUCAAAUUUACAUGGAUACCCGUGGUAAUUCUAGAGCUAAUACAUGCUGUUGAGCCCGACUUUUUGGAAGGGCGGUAUUUAUUAGAUAACAAGCCAAUAUUCCUCUGGUCUAUUGUGGUGACUCAUGAUAACUGAUCGAAUCGCAAAGUCUAUGACUGCGAUAAAUCAUUCAAGUUUCUGCCCCAUCAGCUUUCGAUGGUAGUGUAUUGGACUACCAUGGCAUUUACGGGUAACGGAGGAUUAGGGUUCGAUUCCGGAGAGGGAGCCUGAGAAACGGCUACCACAUCUAAGGAAGGCAGCAGGCGCGUAAAUUACCCAAUCCCGAUUCGGGGAGGUAGUGACAAGAAAUAGCGGACAGAGACCCUCGUGGUUUCUGGAUUGCAAUGAGCCGAAUUUACACCCAUUAGCGAAGGUCGAUUGGAGGGCAAGUCUGGUGCCAGCAGCCGCGGUAAUUCCAGCUCCAAUAGCGUAUAUUAAAGUUGUUGCAGUUAAAAAGCUCGUAGUUGGAUUUCUGGGAGGAUGCUAAUGCAAGCUUCGUGCUAUGCAGAAGCGUCCUUCCAUCCUUCUGUUAGCGUGUCUUGGCAUUCAUUUGCUGGUCACGGGCUCAGAUAUUUUACCUUGAGAAAAUUAGAGUGUUUCAGGCAGGCUAAGCCGGAAUACAUUAGCAUGGAAUAAUGGAAUAGGACUGAGGUCUCUUUGUUGGUUUGAGGAACUACAGUAAUGAUUAAUAGGGACAGUUGGGGGCAUUAGUAUUUUAAUAGUCAGAGGUGGAAUUCUAUGAUUUGUUAAAGACUAACUAAUGCGAAAGCAUUUGCCAAGGAUGUUUUCAUUAAUCAAGAACGAAAGUUAAGGGGAUCAAGACGAUCAGAUACCGGU
Molecule: ribosomal RNA, 993 nt
Filed under: uncultured eukaryote
Lineage: Eukaryota
Description: SSU rRNA
Rfam family: Eukaryotic small subunit ribosomal RNA
Source: RNAcentral